GUUAAAGACUACAUGAGACUUUGACAGAUGGCGGGAAACCCUCAUCCACUGGUAGAGGAAUGUCUGCAACUAAGCCGAGGGCCACUGGAUAAGGGUUGUUGAUGGUAAAACAGGUAGAGGAAUGUCUGCAACUAAGCCGAGGGCCACUGGAUAAGGGUUGUUGAUGGUAAAACAGGUUAAAGACUACAUGAGACUUUGACAGAUGGCGGGAAACCCUCAUCCACUGGUACGAACCCGGUAGAGGAAUGUCUGCAACUAAGCCGAGGGCCACUGGAUAAGGCUUGUUGAUGGUAAAACAGGUAGAGGAAUGUCUGCAACUAAGCCGAGGGCCACUGGAUAAGGGUUGUUGAUGGUAAAACAGGUUAAAGACUACAUGAGACUUUGACAGAUGGCGGGAAACCCUCAUCCACUGGUACGAACCCGGUAAAUUGAUGGCUGUAAAACAGUGACCGCUGAUUCGCAUCGAGUUCUUUCUUGCAAAACGCAUGACCCCCCUUUUUUAUUGUCUAAAUCAUUGCGACUUGGAAUGCUCUUUAAGAAAUUAAAGGUAGAGGAAUGUCUGCAACUAAGCCGAGGGCCACUGGAUAAGGGUUGUUGAUGGUAAAACAGGUAGAGGAAUGUCUGCAACUAAGCCGAGGGCCACUGGAUAAGGGUUGUUGAUGGUAAAACAGGUUAAAGACUACAUGAGACUUUGACAGAUGGCGGGAAACCCUCAUCCACUGGUACGAACCCGGUAAAUUGAUGGCUGUAAAACAGUGACCGCUGAUUCGCAUCGAGUUCUUUCUUGCAAAACGCAUGACCCCCCUUUUUUAUUGUCUAAAUCAUUGCGACUUGGAAUGCUCUUUAAGAAAAGGUAUGGUUAUGGGGGUCUCUAUGCGCAAAAGUUUGACUUUAUUUUUUGUUGAAGUUAUUGCUUUUACAUUGAAUUUGUGUAGGAAAUCUUUUGGUAUAUUGUAACCUGAAUCGACUUGAAAGCGUUUUGCAAAGACGAGAAGUGCGUAAAUAUCUCACCUUGUAAGAAACCUAUUUCGUGGGGCAAUUGUCGUGUUAUGGCGUCUAUCUAUCUAUCUUCGGAUACUGUUGAACUCCCCUUUCGGGUAUUAUAAACAGAUUGCGCUGUCAGUGAAAGGAAAAGAUUUAUACAAUAUUGUACAAUAAAAGUAUUGGCAGUGAGACGUCAAAGAAAGAAAGUAAGAAUGAAACAAAGUUUGAAAGUGUUAGUAUAUGUAUAGACAAGAGUUAAAAUAAGGUUUAAAACACACUCUGCCGCAACUAAUUGUAUGAGAUGUGGCUUAAUGCCAGCUCGAAGGAUUCAAACGUUGGCAGGAGGACAAUUUUUGGUGGGAGGUUGUUCGAUAGUAUGACAGUGCUGGGAAAAUAAGAAAAUUUAUAAUAGUUAGCUACUGUGUGAAUCUGCCUAUAAGCUAAAGGAUGUGUAUCGCGAGUCAAUCUCCUGGGUUUAUCAAAAUAUGUGGGGACGGGGACAGCUAUUAAUGAGUGGAAAAUUUUGUAAAAUAAUACUAUUUUAGUAUCAGUCCAUCUGUUCUCUAGAGAUCUUAUACCGAGUGACUGUUGCAUGUCUGAGUCACUAUCAUACGUGGAAUAGCUGUAAUGUAGCCAUCUGAUUGCUCUUAUUUGAACAAUUUCGAUUUUAUUGAUGUUUUGUUUAGUGUAUGGCGACAAGACUGGAGACGAGUAUUCUACUUGAGGCAUGACAAGAGUUUUAUUGGCAGUUUGUUUUACUUUUUUGUUUUUAGUUUGGAUGUUACAUUUAAGGAAACCAAGUGUUCUAUUUGCUGUUGUACAUAUUCUAUCAAUGUGAGUGUUGACAGAAAGGUCUUUGGAAAAGUCUAAUCCUUCGUAUUUUGAACUUGGUACGGUUUUAAGGAUAUGGCCAUACAAUAAAUAAUUAUGUUUGAGUUUA
Long non-coding RNA from Dreissena polymorpha, 1924 nucleotides. RefSeq lists it as uncharacterized. The record is from RefSeq and is a predicted model, not a curated record. The transcript has 10 exons. Lineage: Eukaryota; Metazoa; Mollusca; Bivalvia; Myida; Dreissenidae.